Molecule: long non-coding RNA, 358 nt
Filed under: Brassica napus (rape)
Lineage: Eukaryota; Viridiplantae; Streptophyta; Magnoliopsida; Brassicales; Brassicaceae
Description: long non-coding RNA (BNAP_LNC014880)
Source: RNAcentral
UUUGAGCCCCACUUGAGUAUCUUAAAAGGUAAAAAAUAGUAUUGUAAUAAAUUCUAUUUAAGUAAAUUAAAUUGCCAUUUAAAAAAAUCUAAAAACAAUAGAAAGAAGCUAUUUGGAAUUUGACUUAUCUAUUCUUAAAAACUUCUAUUAAGAACCGUUUUUUACUUUUUCUUACUUCAUUUAAUUUUUUAAUAUUUAUAAUUAUAAUCUUUAGAUAUUUUGUGAAAGCUUCUCACUGGAGCUGCUUUAAUGUUCUUGUUAACCAUGAAGUUUUGAUAUUGGUCCAUAACCGCUAGCAAAAAUAAAUUUCUAUUAAAACUCCAAUGUGAUAAAGUGGAACAUGCAUGGAAAGGUGGAG